Scylla paramamosain (green mud crab) is the source of this 895-nucleotide long non-coding RNA. RefSeq lists it as uncharacterized. The transcript has 3 exons. NCBI's taxonomy places the organism in Eukaryota, Metazoa, Arthropoda, Malacostraca, Decapoda, Portunidae. The record is from RefSeq and is a predicted model, not a curated record.
CGGUGCGGCUCUGGUGGUGGUGGUGGUGGUGGUGGGUCACGCAUGCGCACGUCGUGAAGGUGCUUGCGUGGCCUCCUUGGUGGUGUCUGUGUCAGCUCUCCGUGGUCUGCCCCUUGUAUCCUCCUGUAUCCUGCCUCCAUCGUGAAGCUGUGGGUUUAGGAAAUCUAUGGCUACAGGCAACUCUACGAUGGUCGCUGCUCGAGGGAGAUAGCAAAGCGGGUCCUCUUGCUUGGCUCGUGUUUCCAUAAGCCUGAGCUCUUCUUGGACUGAAAACUCCAUAAUACUUCCUCGGUGUAAGACGACGAGCGUGCCUACUCCUCCUCCGAGGUUCACUGACCAGCCAUGCAAGAAAGUGUUGUGGGAGUUGGGAUGACGUUUGCACCACCUUGUGUGUUCAGUCCUCACACGAACUUUUUCUAUUUACAUCUGUACCGAGUUUCUAGUGGGUUGGUUGUCUGUAGAGAUUAUUUAGUUUCAUAUAGAAUUUAAUUGAAAUUAACUACUAGUAUAAUAAUAUUAAUAGCGCAUGUUCGUCGUCACUGGAGGCACUAAUUUAUUUUUAUUUGUAACGUGACUAUUAUAUUUAUUUAUUCAGCUAGAUAAGGUAUGUUUUUAGGCUUUUAGGUAUUUUGCAAGUAAGGUUAAGUAAUCCGUAAAAACCUUAAAAACCUAUCAGCGAUGUGUUAGGUGUAUCUCUGUCCAGCAGUCUAUAAAAAAUAAAAAAAAGAACUCCACUAGCAAAAAGCUCAUUGUGCGAAAACUAUAUGAAAACAACGAGCUGGGUACCAGACCAACUGCGCCUCGGAGGUGGUAGGUAAACGUGGAAGAGAACAAAAACUGCGUUUUUCUUUUGCGUGAAGGUGCAUGUUAUUUAUAUAAUAAAACCUAAAAAACA